UACAGAGGGUGCAAGCGUUACUCGGAAUUACUGGGCGUAAAGCGCGCGUAGGCGGCUGUCUAAGUCGGGUGUGAAAGCCCCGGGCUCAACCUGGGAACUGCAUUCGAUACUGGACGGCUAGAGUAUGAGAGAGGGAGGUAGAAUUCCACGUGUAGCGGUGAAAUGCGUAGAUAUGUGGAGGAAUACCGGUGGCGAAGGCGGCCUCCUGGUUCAAUACUGACGCUGAGGUGCGAAAGCGUGGGGAGCAAACAGG
Molecule: ribosomal RNA, 253 nt
Filed under: uncultured bacterium
Lineage: Bacteria
Description: partial 16S ribosomal RNA
Rfam family: Bacterial small subunit ribosomal RNA
Source: RNAcentral